This 759-nucleotide long non-coding RNA is filed under the name Apteryx rowi (Okarito brown kiwi). Its description in RNAcentral is "lncRNA (ENSARWG00000000834.1)". The record is from RNAcentral. Lineage: Eukaryota; Metazoa; Chordata; Aves; Apterygiformes; Apterygidae.
CCUACGGAUAUAUUAAUUUUUAGAGUGAGAAGUCAAGUUAUCUUUUGAGGGAAAAAUAUCUAAUAUUUAACAAGCUCGAUGAYUUCUUUUUGACUCAUGCAACUAUUUUUAGUAUUUAAAUAUUGAAUAUCUAUAGCUUUCAGCUAUAUUGCAGUUUGGUCUUAGCUUUUAAUUUAGCUGAGUAAAAUUUAAAGCCUAUGUAUUUCAUUUGUGUAUGGAUUUAUUUUUGACAGAGGACUUAGAGCUGCCAUUAAAUAAGUUUACAUUAUGAAGUGAUUUUUAAAUGUAUUUUUCAGGAGAAAUCAUGAGAGAUGAUGUAUGUAAAAGCAGGAAAUGCGAAGAAUUGCUGAACAACAUCAAUUUUUCCCAUAUGACCUUCUAGCAAAAGACUGUAUCAACAAGCUAACUGACAAGACCAGUACACUUCAAUUCAUUGCCUUCCUUCCAUGCCUUAGGAUGAUUUGUGUAGACAUAGUACAGUGGUGCAGUGUUUGUUCUGUGACCUUCUGGAUAUCAUGUCGCAAGUCAAAAGCACCUCAGACUUACAGAGGAUCGCUUCUUUUUCGACAUCAGAGGAAGGUACAAAAACACAUCAUUACUAUAUGGUUGGCAGCAGUACUUCUCUGUUUUUGCUUGUUGAAAUGUUGGCAAGAGAUUGGGCCUAAACUGAAAAAUAUGCAGCUGAGGAGAAGGGCUUUGUUAGCCUGCUGGAGCAGUUGUCCUCAAAAGCCCAAGACUACAGAAGCACCACGGAGCUGA